Molecule: non-coding RNA, 64 nt
Filed under: unclassified sequences
Description: DUF3800-VIII RNA
Rfam family: DUF3800-VIII RNA
About the family: Bacteroidetes, Cyanobacteria, Firmicutes, Planctomycetes (1 example), Proteobacteria, Tenericutes (1 example).
Source: Rfam by way of RNAcentral
UAAACCCUAUCAAGCCGAAGUCCCAAGUGCCACUUGGGAUACUAAGUAGGCGAGAUGGGGUUUA